This 308-nucleotide unclassified non-coding RNA is filed under the name Psathyrella fusca. RNAcentral describes it as "partial internal transcribed spacer region". The stretch from base 1 to 46 matches the Rfam family "Eukaryotic small subunit ribosomal RNA", at positions 1786 to 1831 of the family's 1831-position model. The record is from RNAcentral. Lineage: Eukaryota; Fungi; Basidiomycota; Agaricomycetes; Agaricales; Psathyrellaceae.
AAGUCGUAACAAGGUUUCCGUAGGUGAACCUGCGGAAGGAUCAUUAAUGAAUAACUAUGGUGUUGGUUGUUGCUGGCUUCUAGGAGCAUGUGCACGCCCACCAUUCUUAUAUCUCUCCACCUGUGCACAUUAUGUAGGUCUGGAUAACUCUCGCUCUUGGGCGGAUACAGGGAUUGUCGCUUGCGACUCUUCUUGAAUUUCCAGAUCUAUGUAUUUACAUACCCCAAUUGAAUGAUGAAGAAUGUAGUCAAUGGGCUUUAAGCCUAUAAAACAAAAUACAACUUUCAGCAACGGAUCUCUUGGCUCUC